GAUGAACGCUGGCGGCGUGCUUAACACAUGCAAGUCGAACGAUGAAGCCCAGCUUGCUGGGUGGAUUAGUGGCGAACGGGUGAGUAACACGUGAGUAACCUGUCCUUAACUCUGGGAUAAGCCUGGGAAACUCGGUCUAAUACCGGAUAGGAGCGUCCCCCGCAUGGUGGGUGUUGGAAAGAUUUAUCGGUUUUGGAUGGACUCGCGGCCUAUCAGCUUGUUGGUGAGGUAAUGGCUCACCAAGGCGCCGACGGGUAGCCGGCCUGAGAGGGUGACCGGCCACACUGGGACUGAGACACGGCCCAGACUCCUACGGGAGGCAGCAGUGGGGAAUAUUGCACAAUGGGCGGAAGCCUGAUGCAGCAACGCCGCGUGAGGGAUGACGGCCUUCGGGUUGUAAACCGCUUUCAGUAGGGAAGAAGCGAAAGUGACGGUACCUGCAGAAGAAGCACCGGCUAACUACGUG
Molecule: ribosomal RNA, 466 nt
Filed under: uncultured bacterium
Lineage: Bacteria
Description: partial 16S ribosomal RNA
Rfam family: Bacterial small subunit ribosomal RNA
Source: RNAcentral